CUGAACUCUCAGACACUCUGCAGCAGCUGACUGUAGUUGUGUAUGAAGCUCAGGACAAGGACUUGACUCAGUGGUUCCUGGAGAAGGUUGGUGGAGACCUGACCUCCUGCAGGCUGGACUGGGAAGUGCUUCUCUCUCUGCUGCAGCAUUCAACCCACAACAUCACUGUGGACCUCAGGAAGAACGGGCUUCUAGAGAAGAACAUCUCAGAUCUUCUCCCCUUUCUGGGAAGGGUUACUCUCAAGAGGUCCAGUUCCAGCUUUGUAAAGUCCUCCAUCAGACAGAUCUAUGACAGUAGAGCCAGUGACUGUGUGUCCAGUUUGUUGAGGUCUUCAGACCAUUGGAUCAACCUGAACAGCAGAGAGCUGGACAGAGUGGAGUGUACUGCUCUGUGUUUUACCCUGCAGCACAGCCACCAAGUCAAAGUCAACCUGCUGUGGACCUCCAUACCACCGGGGGAGAUAGAGAGCAUCCUGCUCUUCUGGACAGAGUCUCCCAACUCAGUGUUGACAGGAGGUUACUGCUGAGUUUCCUCCAGUGCUGUGCUGCCUCUCAGAUCCAGCAGGGGGCACCACCACCACCAACAGCAGUAUGGCUGCUCAGGUCUCUGCACUACAGGCUGGACUUCUCCUGCUCCUCCUCUGUGGACCUGUCAGCUCAGGACCAGGAGAAGGCUCUGUGUCUACCACUGACCACUGCAGGGCCAUCGGC
Non-coding RNA from Salmo salar (Atlantic salmon), 711 nucleotides. The record is from RefSeq and is a predicted model, not a curated record. NCBI's taxonomy places the organism in Eukaryota, Metazoa, Chordata, Actinopteri, Salmoniformes, Salmonidae.